AACGAACGCUGGCGGCAGGCCUAACACAUGCAAGUCGAGCGCCCCGCAAGGGGGAGCGGCGGACGGGUGAGUAACACGUGGGAAUUUUCCUCAAGGUACGGAACAACUCAGGGAAACUUGGGCUAAUACCGUAUGAUGCAGAGAUGCCAAAGAUUUAUCGCCUUGGGAUAAGCCCGCGUCAGAUUAGGUAGUUGGUGAGGUAACGGCUCACCAAGCCUGUGAUCUGUAGCNGGUCUGAGAGGACGAUCAGCCACAUUGGGACUGAGACACGGCCCAAACUCCUACGGGAGGCAGCAGGUGGGGAAUCUUGCGCAAUGGGCGAAAGCCUGACGCAGCCAUGCCGCGUGAA
RNAcentral lists this ribosomal RNA (349 nucleotides) under uncultured bacterium. Its description in RNAcentral is "bacterial SSU rRNA". It matches the Rfam family "Bacterial small subunit ribosomal RNA", at positions 29 to 405 of the family's 1533-position model. The record is from RNAcentral.